RNAcentral lists this long non-coding RNA (885 nucleotides) under Mus caroli (Ryukyu mouse). Its description in RNAcentral is "predicted gene 27217 (MGP_CAROLIEiJ_G0003037.1)". The record is from RNAcentral. Lineage: Eukaryota; Metazoa; Chordata; Mammalia; Rodentia; Muridae.
GAAAGGGGGUGGCAGCAGAAGGAGCUACUCCCCGGCCGCUGCACCAAGACCAGAGCAGCCCGUGAUCAUAGCUCUGAACCCGCCUCGUUCCAGGCUUCCUCCUCCGUUCCCUCCUCCUUCUGCACAGACACCCCCAGGGUCUCUCCGUAGAGCCUUUCGAGAGCUCACGGUGGCCCGGGGCGCCGCGCCCUGACCCGCGCUCUAGGGUCGUGGAGGACGGCGCCCCAUCUGGGGAGACUGCGGUGCUAAGCCUCGAGUACCCCCAGGGACGCUGAGGAACAGAGAAACGCGAGCCAGAGCAACACCCGCCCCCCAGGAGCUGGGAACAAAGACCCCUUUGUUCCAGCUCUGUCCCUCUCCCGGGAGACCAGAGUCCCGUGGGUGUGGUGUCGUGGAGAGGAGGAGACAGGUCACCGCAGAUUCUCAAGGUUCCUUUGGCUUAAAUAUACAUGAUUUGUAUUCAAGAUAAACUUUUAAAAGAAGAUUCAUAGUAUGUCUUGAAAAUUAUAUCUGGUCUGGGAAGAGAGCUCAGCAAAUAUUACACUUUCUGUGUGCAAUGACACUAUUAAAAAGUAUGUCCUUGUUGGAACAGGUGUGACCUUGUUGGAGGAAGUGUGUCACUGUGGGGGUGGCCUUCAAGGUCCUAUGCUCAAGUUUCACACAGUGCAGAAGAGACAUUCUCCUUCUGGUUGCCUUCAGAUCAAUAUGCAGAAUUUCCAGCUCCUUCUCCAGCAAUACAUCUGCCUGGAUGCUACCAUGCUUCCUGCCAUGAUAAUAGUGGACAGAACCUCUGAAACUGUAAGCCAGCUCCAAUUAAAUGUUUUCCUGUGUAAGAGUUACCUUGGUCAUGGUGCUUCUCCACAGCAAUAAAACCUUAAGACACUG